GCCCGGAGAUGGGUACUGAACACGGACCCAGCCCCUAUGGGGCGCAGCAGGCGAGAACCUUUGCAAUGUGCGAAAGCACGACAAGGUUAAUCCGAGUGUCUCCUGCUAAAGGAGUCUUUUGUCAGUUGUAGAAUCACUGGUGAAUAAGGGGUGGGCAAGUUCUGGUGUCAGCCGCCGCGGUAAAACCAGCACCUCGAGUGGUCAGGAGGUUUAUUGGGCCUAAAGCAUCCGUAGCCGGUUGCAUAAGUUUUCGGUUAAAUCUAUGCGCUUAACGUAUAGGCCGCCGAAAAUACUGUGCAGCUAGGGAGUGGGAGAGGUACACGGUACUCGAUAGGAAGGGGUAAAAUCCUUUGAUCUAUUGAAGACCACCUGUGGCGAAGGCGGUGUACCAGAACACGUUCGACGGUGAGGGAUGAAAGCUGGGGGAGCAAACCGGAUUAGAUACCCGGGUAGUCCCAGCUGUAAACGAUGCAGACUCGGUGAUGCAUUGGCUUGUGGCCAAUGCAGUGCCGCAGGGAAGCCGUUAAGUCUGCCGCCUGGGAAGUGCGUACGCAAGUAUGAAACUUAAAGGAAUUGGCGGGGGAGCACCACAAGGGGUGAAGCCUGCGGUCAAUUGGAUCAAC
RNAcentral lists this ribosomal RNA (623 nucleotides) under uncultured archaeon. RNAcentral's name for it is "bacterial SSU rRNA". It matches the Rfam family "Archaeal small subunit ribosomal RNA", at positions 288 to 916 of the family's 1478-position model. The record is from RNAcentral.